UACCAGCACCCCGAGUGGUCGGGACGUUUAUUGGGCCUAAAGCAUCCGUAGCCGGUUCUACAAGUCUUCCGUUAAAUCCGCCUGCUCAACAGAUGGGCUGCGGAAGAUACUAUGGAGCUAGGAGGCGGGAGAGGAAAGCGGUACUCGAUGGGUAGGGGUAAAAUCCGUUGAUCCAUUGAAGACCACCAGUGGCGAAGGCGGCUUGCCAGAACGCGCUCGACGGUGAGGGAUGAAAGCUGGGGGAGCAAACCGG
This 253-nucleotide ribosomal RNA is filed under the name uncultured bacterium. Its description in RNAcentral is "partial 16S ribosomal RNA". It matches the Rfam family "Archaeal small subunit ribosomal RNA", at positions 474 to 727 of the family's 1478-position model. The record is from RNAcentral.